RNAcentral lists this ribosomal RNA (469 nucleotides) under uncultured beta proteobacterium. Its description in RNAcentral is "bacterial SSU rRNA". It matches the Rfam family "Bacterial small subunit ribosomal RNA", at positions 565 to 1033 of the family's 1533-position model. Lineage: Bacteria; Pseudomonadati; Pseudomonadota; Betaproteobacteria. The record is from RNAcentral.
GCGUGCGCAGGCGGUUUUGUAAGUCUGAUGUGAAAUCCCCGGGCUCAACCUGGGAAUUGCAUUGGAGACUGCAAGGCUAGAAUCUGGCAGAGGGGGGUAGAAUUCCACGUGUAGCAGUGAAAUGCGUAGAUAUGUGGAGGAACACCGAUGGCGAAGGCAGCCCCCUGGGUCAAGAUUGACGCUCAUGCACGAAAGCGUGGGGAGCAAACAGGAUUAGAUACCCUGGUAGUCCACGCCCUAAACGAUGUCUACUAGUUGUCGGGUCUUAAUUGACUUGGUAACGCAGCUAACGCGUGAAGUAGACCGCCUGGGGAGUACGGUCGCAAGAUUAAAACUCAAAGGAAUUGACGGGGACCCGCACAAGCGGUGGAUGAUGUGGUUUAAUUCGAUGCAACGCGAAAAACCUUACCCACCUUUGACAUGUACGGAAUCCUUUAGAGAUAGAGGAGUGCUCGAAAGAAACCGUAAC